UGGCGUGCCUUUUGUAGAAUGAACCGGCGAGUUACGAUUUGAUGCAAGGUUAAGCAGUAAAUGUGGAGCCGUAGCGAAAGCGAGUCUGAAUAGGGCGUUUAGUAUUUGGUCGUAGACCCGAAACCAGGUGAUCUACCCUUGGUCAGGUUGAAGUUCAGGUAACACUGAAUGGAGGACCGAACCGACUUACGUUGAAAAGUGAGCGGAUGAACUGAGGGUAGCGGAGAAAUUCCAAUCGAACCUGGAGAUAGCUGGUUCUCUCCGAAAUAGCUUUAGGGCUAGCCUCAAGUGAUGAUUAUUGGAGGUAGAGCACUGUUUGGACGAGGGGCCCCUCUCGGGUUACCGAAUUCAGACAAACUCCGAAUGCCAAUUAAUUUAACUUGGGAGUCAGAACAUGGGU
This 400-nucleotide ribosomal RNA is filed under the name Staphylococcus aureus. RNAcentral describes it as "partial 23S ribosomal RNA". It matches the Rfam family "Bacterial large subunit ribosomal RNA", at positions 597 to 996 of the family's 2925-position model. The record is from RNAcentral. Lineage: Bacteria; Bacillati; Bacillota; Bacilli; Caryophanales; Staphylococcaceae.